RNAcentral lists this ribosomal RNA (460 nucleotides) under uncultured bacterium. Its description in RNAcentral is "partial 16S ribosomal RNA". It matches the Rfam family "Bacterial small subunit ribosomal RNA", at positions 338 to 795 of the family's 1533-position model. The record is from RNAcentral.
CCUACGGGUGACAGCAGUGAGGAAUAUUGGUCAAUGGGCGCAAGCCUGAACCAGCCAAGUAGCGUGAAGGAUGAAGGACCUACGGUUUGUAAACUUCUUUUAUAGGGGAAUAAAGGUAUGCACGUGUGCCUUUUUGUAUGUACUUUAUGAAUAAGGAUCGGCUAACUCCGUGCCAGCAGCCGCGGUAAUACGGAGGAUGCGAGCGUUAUCCGGAUUUAUUGGGUUUAAAGGGAGCGUAGAUGGGUUGUUAAGUCAGUUGUGAAAGUUUGUGGCUCAACCGUAAAAUUGCAAUUGAUACUGGCAGUCUUGAGUAUAGUUGAGGUAGGCGGAAUUCGUGGUGUAGCGGUGAAAUGCUUAGAUAUCACGAAGAACUCCGAUUGCGAAGGCAGCUUACUAAACUAACACUGACACUGAUGCUCGAAAGCGUGGGUAUCAAACAGGAUUAGAUACCCGUGUAGUC